Molecule: ribosomal RNA, 498 nt
Filed under: uncultured bacterium
Lineage: Bacteria
Description: bacterial SSU rRNA
Rfam family: Bacterial small subunit ribosomal RNA
Source: RNAcentral
AUUGAACGCUGGCGGAAUGCUUUACACAUGCAAGUCGAACGGCAGCACGGGGCAACCUGGUGGCGAGUGGCGAACGGGUGAGUAAUACAUCGGAACGUGCCCAAUCGUGGGGGAUAACGUAGCGAAAGCUACGCUAAUACCGCAUACGAUCUACGGAUGAAAGCGGGGGAUCGCAAGACCUCGCGCGAAUGGAGCGGCCGAUGGUAGAUUAGGUAGUUGGUGGGAUAAAAGCUUACCAAGCCGACGAUCUGUAGCUGGUCUGAGAGGACGACCAGCCACACUGGGACUGAGACACGGCCCAGACUCCUACGGGAGGCAGCAGUGGGGAAUUUUGGACAAUGGGCGCAAGCCUGAUCCAGCCAUGCCGCGUGCAGGAUGAAGGCCUUCGGUUGUAAACUGCUUUGUUACGGACGAAAAAGACUCUCUCUAAUACAGGGGUGAAUGACGGUACCGUAAGAAUAAGACACCGGCUAACGUACGUGCCAGCAGCCGCGGUAA